Molecule: long non-coding RNA, 1107 nt
Filed under: Marmota monax (woodchuck)
Lineage: Eukaryota; Metazoa; Chordata; Mammalia; Rodentia; Sciuridae
Source: RNAcentral
GCCAGGGCGGGCAGGGCGGGUCAGUUCUGGCUCCGUCUGGAGGCCUUUCCCAGGCUGUGCCGGUGCUCAGGCUACCCGCACCUCUGUCGCCUCACGCCCUGGCUCCCAGGGUCAGGACAGAGCUGCGGUUUGUGGAACCGUGGGUUAGCGGAACACAUUCCAUUCCCGGGCGCUCUGUGCGUCCACAGGGACCGGCCACUGUGGGAAAGCUCACCCAGACCAACCACUGUCGUGCAGCCUGGGCGAGUCGCGGGGCUCUCUGGGUGUGAUGCUGGGAGUCUCCGAGGGGCCUGGCCAGACCUCGCCUCCCCAUCUCCUCGUGGGCAGAGGGUGUCUGACGCCCAGGCACAGGUGUGGGGCACGGGCCUGGAGUCCAGCUUUGGCCCAAAGUGCUGAUUAUUCCACACGCUGUGCACCUGCCAAUCAGGGUGUCCCGUCCAGCCAACCAGCUCAGGCCCUCCAGCCACGCAGGCUGGCCGGUCUGCACCGUGCCGGGCACUCCUGCUGGGGCAUCGCCCUGGGCAGCAUGUGCCCAAGUUCAGAGGAGGGACAGAGACAGGGGAGAGACAGGCGGAGAGUCAGAGCCAGAGACAAAGAGGGAGAGACAGAGAGAAAGAGACAGAGACAGGGGAGAGACAGAGACAGGGGAGAGACAGGCGGAGAGUCAGAGCCAGAGACAAAGAGGGAGAGACAGAGACAGAGGAGAGACAGAGACAGAGGAGAGACAGAGACAGAAGGAGAGACAGAGAGGCAGAGACAGAUGGAGAGACAGGCAGAGACAUAGAGAGACAGAAGACAGAGACAGAGAGAGGCAGAAGGAGAGACAGGCAGAGACAGAGACAGGAGAGACAGAGAAAGGGGAGCUAGAGAAAGAGAGAUAGAGGCGGAGCAAGGCGCCUGGAAGGCCCCAGACGUCAUCUGUCCCCCUCUGGCAGUUUGCCCUGAAAUACAGACCCUUCUUCUCCUAGCCCAAGUCGGGAGCGCGGUUCCCACGCUGCAGCACAAUGCCCCACACCGUGAGGGAGCAGCCUGCCCGAGUGCCCCCGACUGCCCCGAGUGCUCCCUGAGUGCCCCCUGACUGCGCCUCUGAGUGCCCCCCGAUUUCCC